CCAACGGCCCUCUUUAGGGCCACAAAUUUCCUAUAAUCCAAGAAC
This 45-nucleotide non-coding RNA is filed under the name Caenorhabditis brenneri. RNAcentral describes it as "sRNA CBN34228". It matches the Rfam family "Histone 3' UTR stem-loop". From Rfam's summary of the family: The mRNAs of metazoan histone genes lack a poly-A tail. 3' end processing occurs at a site between a highly conserved stem-loop (modelled by this family) and a purine rich region around 20 nts downstream (the histone downstream element, or HDE). Lineage: Eukaryota; Metazoa; Nematoda; Chromadorea; Rhabditida; Rhabditidae. The record is from RNAcentral.